RNAcentral lists this ribosomal RNA (515 nucleotides) under uncultured bacterium. Its description in RNAcentral is "bacterial SSU rRNA". It matches the Rfam family "Bacterial small subunit ribosomal RNA", at positions 501 to 1017 of the family's 1533-position model. The record is from RNAcentral.
CUACGUGCCAGCAGCCGCGGUAAUACGGGGGGUGCGAGCGUUAAUCGGAAUAACUGGGCGUAAAGGGCACGCAGGCGGCUAUUUAAGUGAGGUGUGAAAUCCCCGGGCUUAACCUGGGAAUUGCAUUUCAGACUGGGUAGCUAGAGUACUUUAGGGAGGGGUAGAAUUCCACGUGUAGCGGUGAAAUGCGUAGAGAUGUGGAGGAAUACCGAAGGCGAAGGCAGCCCCUUGGGAAUGUACUGACGCUCAUGUGCGAAAGCGUGGGGAGCAAACAGGAUUAGAUACCCUGGUAGUCCACGCUGUAAACGCUGUCGAUUUGGGGAUUGGGCUUUAAGCUUGGUGCCCGUAGCUAACGUGAUAAAUCGACCGCCUGGGGAGUACGGCCGCAAGGUUAAAACUCAAAUGAAUUGACGGGGGCCCGCACAAGCGGUGGAGCAUGUGGUUUAAUUCGAUGCAACGCGAAGAACCUUACCUACUCUUGACAUCCAUGGAAUCCUGUAGAGAUACGGGAGUGC